ACUUCUCUUUCAAAGAUGGACUGGGGAAAGACAUUAAGUUCGGAGCAGCCCAAGGCUGCGGAUCUAGCCUUUCUCCCUCCGGUCUCCAGACCCACGCAGGUUAAGGCAGCCAAGCAGAGACAGCGGAGCCCCGGUGCGUGGUUCAGGCCUGGUCAACAGGUAGGAGGGCCAGACUGGGGGCCAGGCACAGAGGAGGGCAGGCCCGCCCGCACCGGCGUCCAGGGUCCCGGGUUCCGGGUCCCGGGACUGGAGGAGGUCGCCGGCAGCCCGCCCUUCCAGAGGCUUGAGAUUGGGUGGACGAGACCUGAAGAUCCUCUCGGUCUGGACCCCGACUUUCGAUCUGCUUAGAGACCUAAGCCGCGAGCCUUUGCCCACACGGAGAAACGUACUAUCUAAUAUCUAACAACCCUGUACUGCAGUGUCUGGAGGUUGCGGGAAGGAGACAGUGUCUCCCUUUGGGAAAACUACUGAGGACUUCUGUAUAUCCUACUUCUUCUGGACUCCAUAAGUUACAGGACCGAAGGAAACUGAGAAAUAGAGAAAAGGUGCCGCUUGCCCCUUUAACUCCAGAAAAGGGUGGCUGCAGAUGGAGCAGCUUGGACUUUAUUUUUUACGUUGCGCGAAGCCCGCCGGCAGCGGCUUAUGCCAAUUGAUUUUCCCAGCUCCCAGCCCUGGAUGUCUAGCUAUCUCCAGGACAGUUUGUUUUUUUCUUUUUCUGUCUUUCUUUCUUUCCUUCAAUGUAUCAGAAGACCUGAAGCUCGCUGCCCGCGAGUUUCCUCCGAGUUCCCAGUUGCUGAGACAAAGGAAAACCCACUCCCUUGGAGGAGCAUGACCUUUUCCUGUAAUUCUUCCCACUGCUGUUGUUGAGCUCCUUGGAUCCUGGCUCCUGGACACCAUCAUCAAGAAGACUUUAUGGAUGGGCUGUCCACCCACUGAGAGAAGAGGAGCAUCAGCUACAGUUUCUCUCUAGAUUGCCUUCUUCAUUUUGAGUAAUGACUGUCAGCAGGGUCAGAUUAAACACAAAACAACUGGACAAUUGCUUGGAGGACUAAACUAUAAGGGCACUAACAUGUCAAUAGUAGGCUAACACAUCCAUGGAAAAUAUAUUUACCAGCUCUUCUCUCAGGGAGGAUUCUGUGUGGGGUUGGAAGUAAUGAUUUGUUAAAUUCCUUAGGGGUAGAAAGUAGGGCAUAAUCAGAAUAUAGAGGAAUAUGCUGUUUGACUUCAGGGUUUCUGUUUUUCUUACUAGGAUAUAUAAAACAGGGACUCUAGCUAGAUUGUUUAUGACCACAGAGGGUAGGCUGAGUGCUCCCAUGAUCUUCCUGCUUGGUUCUUGCCCAUACAGAGGUCAGCCUUUCCUCUAAUAAAGAUUGAACAAGUAGUGGUCUGAGGGAGACACCAAUUCAUUACCCUACAUGUCUCUUCUCUGCACUCCAGGGCUUUGAUAAUAAAGACACUGGCAGACUAUCUAUCUUCCAUUUCUAUAAUGUGAGCCCUUAGGGAGUCUUCGUUCACUUGGGGGUGAGGGUCAUUGCUCACAGAGUAGUUCAAGUCAAAUGGAACUUGAACUCUUUGCCUAUGGGCCUGGUGGUCAGACUCUGUGUUGAGUUCAUUAGAUUAUUGGAGACACAAGGUAGAGCUGGAUGCUUCAAAAAUAUUUGGCUAAAGGAUGACAUUGCUGGUUAUUUGUAGAUAAAGCCAUGAUGGAACCUGCUUGGAAUCAUGAAAUAUGGAACUGGUGGUCAUGUUUAAAAAUACAACUAAUAGUUAAGUACCUACUGGACACUGUAGAGACUUAGGGGCUAGACAGACAUGGUUCCUGCCCCCUUGGAGCUUACACUGUAGCUUCCCCUUAGGUAUGAAGAACAGUGGCUACAACUAACAAAUGGCCACAAAGAUAUAAUUGAGCCAGUGUUCCAAUUAUUAGGGUAAUUCCUAUUUCCUUAAUCAUUCCUAUUGACCAUGUUCUAUAAGCCUGCAUUCUAUAAAUGGCGUAUGACCAUGGGCUGUUUCCCCCCAGCAAGUUGUACAAAGUUCUGUGGUACCAGGGAAAGGGCUUAAGGUUAGCAGGGCCUCUGCGGAAGGACAUAUGAAGUGACUUGGGUUAGGAAACAGGAAGGGAUAGGAUUCAAGAACAGCUAUUGCUUCUGUUCUAUAUAGGAAACUGCAGCGUGAAAAAUGCUGGGCUGGGAAUUUUGAGACCUGGGUUUUAGUUUGUGUUCUAAUACUAACAAGCUAUGUGACUGUGGGUAAGUCAUUUCACAUUCCAUUUGGAUGCCUCUUGAGUGACUCCAGGCCUCUCCAGCUCUAAAACAUUAAGAUCAGGCCCUACGCUACAGCUGGCCAGUGUGUAAUUCUUCUGUUUCUAUGCUGUUAGGUCAAAUAGAUCUUCAAUAGUUACUUGAUUGUUAUUACUUUUUUCUGAAGUGGGUGUUUUAUCAAUGUUUUAGGAUACAGUGAGUCUGCUUCUCCCCUUUGGAGUUAGGAAGGUUGUAGGAAUAUACACUGUAGAGCAUAUGGGAGCUUUAUCCCCUCCUUUUUUCCCCGCUACCUUUCUCCCUCUCCUUCCCUUCAUCACAUUUCUAUUGAGCAUAUGCCAUUGCCGUGUACCAGGUGUGUGCUAGGUUUGGAGAUACAAGGUAAACCUGAGACUUUCCCAGUCUCCAGGAGACAAAACCCUAAUUUCUUUCAUCUGCUGUCUUUCUCUUUGGAAAGAAUCAACGAUAUCCCAGGGGAAUGUGCCCAUGUCCCAGGGUAACCAACUACAGACAGAUGCCCCAUUCUACUCAAGCAACUUUUAGAGUGCCUUGAGAUACACAUCAGAUAAUUAUGCAGGGCCAGGCAUGGUGCUGCACACUUGUAAUCACAGCACUUUGGGAGGCCGAGGCAGCAGAUUGCUUGAGCCCAGGAAUUCAAGUGUAGCCUAGGGAACAUGGCAAAACCCCAGCUCUACAAAAAAAUACACAAAUUAGCUGCGUGUGGUGGCCUAUGACAGGAGGCUGAGAUGGGAGGAUUGCUUGAGCCUGUGAGGUCGAGGCUGCAGUGAGCCGAGAUCAUGCCAUUACUCCAGCCUGGGUGACAUAGGGAGACCCUGUCUUG
RNAcentral lists this long non-coding RNA (3099 nucleotides) under Homo sapiens (human). Its description in RNAcentral is "non-protein coding DLX6-AS1:20". The record is from RNAcentral. Lineage: Eukaryota; Metazoa; Chordata; Mammalia; Primates; Hominidae.